GGAUGCGAUCAUACCAGCACUAAAGCACCGGAUCCCAUCAGAACUCCGAAGUUAAGCGUGCUUGGGCGAGAGUAGUACUAGGAGGGGUGACCUCCUGGGAAGUCCUCGUGUUGCAUUCC
Molecule: ribosomal RNA, 119 nt
Filed under: Panicum miliaceum (proso millet)
Lineage: Eukaryota; Viridiplantae; Streptophyta; Magnoliopsida; Poales; Poaceae
Source: RNAcentral